UUUUAUGACCUAAAAAACCCCACAGGCUGGUCUGAAGAGGAAGACACUUAAAGAUGAAGUGCUUAAUUCAAGGUCACAGAAUGUCGGGGAUGGACCUCCAGAUUUCCUUACUGACCUGCAUUAUCUUGUGGAUACCUGAGUGAAUUCCACACCACCCAUUUUAUAGAUGAAGCCACUGAGACGUGGAGCAACUGACUGAGUAGUCACUGCCCCACCCCUGCCUGGAGCCUCACACAUGACUUCUCUUAGUGACCACAGGAAAACAAGCUCAGGGCUCCCACUGAUUGUACAUUAUGAGACAGAGUCUUCUUGCUAUGUUGCCCAGGCUGGUCUUGAACUCCUAACCUCAAGCGAUCCUCCCAUCUUGGCCUCCCAGGUGUCAGGAUUACAGGCAUGUGCUAUCACACCCAACCUGAUACAUUGCCUUUAUAAAUUUUUUUUUCUUUAUUCUAAAAAACAGAAAAAACAAAACUGGAUACAUGUGCAGAACAUGCAGACCAAGUGUGUUGGGGACUUGAGAUAUGUACAUGAGUGUUUGUGAUGUUUCCUGGUGAAAGCACAGGUGAGACGUGGUCUUGUAACACAGUGGUUAAGAAUGUGACUUUGGAGCCAGCCUGCUAGGGGCUGAAUUCUGACUCAGCCAUUUAUUAACUGUGUGACCUUAGGCUGGCGUGCAAUGGCGUGAUCUCGGCUCACCACAACCUCUGCUUCCCGGGUUCAAGCGAUUCUCCUGCCUCAGCCUCCCGAGUACCUGGGACUACAGGCACUCGCCACCAUG
Molecule: non-coding RNA, 778 nt
Filed under: Pongo abelii (Sumatran orangutan)
Lineage: Eukaryota; Metazoa; Chordata; Mammalia; Primates; Hominidae
Source: RNAcentral